RNAcentral lists this ribosomal RNA (120 nucleotides) under uncultured bacterium. RNAcentral's name for it is "partial 16S ribosomal RNA". It matches the Rfam family "Bacterial small subunit ribosomal RNA", at positions 29 to 157 of the family's 1533-position model. The record is from RNAcentral.
AACGAACGCUGGCGGCGCGCCUAACACAUGCAAGUCGAGCGCACUCCUUCGGGGGUGAGCGGCGCACGGGUGAGUAACGCGUGGGAACCUACCCUGGGGUUCGGGACAACGGCUGGAAAC